CUUAUGACGAACAGGGUAUAGACAUUUGACGUUUUAAUAAUAUUCACCUACAUAUCUUUUAAACAUGAUUGUUUAAAAAAGAAAGUUUUGAUUUCAGUCAGUUCAUGGAACAUCUUUGGCUUAACCAUGCACAAAACUGUUGCACUAAAAAAACUUGAGUUUGUGUAAAACGUAUUUACCGGUUUUCAAGUUGUUGUUGUUUGGCAAUAAGUUAUGGUGGCAGCUGUGAACUGAUGAACCGAACCAGUUGAGGUACUGUCAAGGUCAAGAAUGAGUGUAUUACUAUAGCCCUUCUGCACAAGUACUGGCCCUUACAUUCUUGAAAAUGGACGGUACAAUGACAGUAUUAUUGGAUCAUUUGGGAAAUGUUAUGUCUGCAUUGCAGUUUUUCUCAUCUGCUAGACAGUCAUGGCAGCUGUGUAGCAGUAAAACAGUGUCAUGUGACCAGACUGAGAAACUAUGUGACAUUGUUUACAUUCUUCCACUUGUGACAAAUUCAAACCCCUGAAGAGUGUAUUACAUCAUGAUCUACUCGAGGAUAGGUGGUCAAAUGAAAUAUCAAAUUUGUGAUUUCUUUACUGUGAUGUGGAAAGAAUGGGAGCCCAGCAGUAGACAGGACAGAUGCAUAUACAGAAGAUGAUUGUCAACAUUCUGUGACUUCAGUAUGUUACAUGUCAAGAAUGGAAUAGGUGCAGCACAAUUGUUUUGAUUAACUGCUAGCCAAAGAUGAAAUCAUGUUCUGCAGCAUUAAACUAGUCACAGUACUGCUCACCAAAUUUUGAUUACUCUUUCCCAUAAGGUUGUCUGUAAUGGUGGAAAAUUGUACUGGUCACAAAGUUUUCGUAACCAUACAUCCGUAUGUCAGGCUAACUGAUUGUUACCGAAUGUGCAGAUGAGGGAUUUUAAAUCUGGAGCUGUUUCACAUGCAGUAAUGUAAGUUUUGGCCGAGGACGUUUUACGUUUUCAAUUUGAUGACCUCACAGGUUGAGAAGUAGCAAUGGUGUUAACCACGUGUCGUGGUAUGGCACAGGUUUUCUUCCGGAUGCAGAGCUGAUGCAGCUUGCAGUCAUCAGGAGUUACCAGAACACAAACGUGAUGCCUGGCCUUCAGGAAGCGCUCUCUGAUAAGUUAUUAGUGAGAAAUUUACACUGUUGGAAUUCUUGUUGUGAUCAUUAACAACUUCAAGUGCAUAGAAAAUUUGUCAAUUUUGAAAAAUUUGCAGAAUUUUUAUAU
This is a long non-coding RNA of Schistocerca cancellata (South American locust), 1233 nucleotides long. RefSeq lists it as uncharacterized. The record is from RefSeq and is a predicted model, not a curated record. The transcript is spliced from 4 exons. NCBI's taxonomy places the organism in Eukaryota, Metazoa, Arthropoda, Insecta, Orthoptera, Acrididae.